AGAGUUUGAUCCUGGCUCAGGAUGAACGCUAGCGGCAGGCCUAAUACAUGCAAGUCGAACGGUAAGGCUCCUUCGGGAGUACACGAGUGGCGCACGGGGGAGUAACGCGUAUGUAUGCAACCUACCUUGAACUGAGGGAUAGCCCAUAGAAAUCUGGAUUAAUACUUCAUAAUAAUAUAAAACGACAUCGUUUAAUAUUUAAAGCUCCGGCGGUUUAAGAUGGGCAUGCGUGACAUUAGUUAGUUGGUAAGGUAACGGCUUACCAAGACAGCGAUGUCUAGGGGUUCUGAGAGGAUUUUCCCCCACACUGGUACUGAGACACGGACCAGACUCCUACGGGAGGCAGCAGUAAGGAAUAUUGGGCAAUGGACGAAAGUCUGACCCAGCCAUGCCGCGUGCAGGAUGACAGCCCUAUGGGUCGUAAACUGCUUUUAUAUGGGAAGAAACUCCACUAUGUAUAGUGGACUGACGGUACCAUACGAAUAAGGAUCGGCUAACUCCGUGCCAGCAGCCGCGGUAAUACGGAGGAUCCAAGCGUUAUCCGGAUUUAUUGGGUUUAAAGGGUGCGCAGGCGGAUUAUUAAGUCAGCGGUGAAAUCCUACAGCUUAACUGUAGAACUGCCGUUGAUACUGAUAGUCUUGAGUAUAGUUGAGGUAGGCGGAAUGUGUCAUGUAGCGGUGAAAUGCUUAGAUAUGACACAGAACACCGAUUGCGAAGGCAGCUUACUAAACUAUAACUGACGCUGAGGCACGAAAGCGUGGGGAGCGAACAGGAUUAGAUACCCUGGUAGUCCACGCCGUAAACGAUGAAUACUCGCUGUUAGCAAUACACAGUUAGCGGCUAAGCGAAAGCAUUAAGUAUUCCACCUGGGGAGUACGAUCGCAAGAUUGAAACUCAAAGGAAUUGACGGGGGCCCGCACAAGCGGAGGAACAUGUGGUUUAAUUCGAUGAUACGCGAGGAACCUUACCUGGGCUUAAAUGUAGUUUGAUUUUACUGGAAACGGUAUUCCCUUCGGGGCAAAUUACAAGGUGCUGCAUGGUUGUCGUCAGCUCGUGCCGUGAGGUGUCGGGUUAAGUCCCAUAACGACCGCAAACCCCUAUCGUUAGUUGCCAUCAGGUUAAGCUGGGCACUCUAACGAGACUGCCGUCGCAAGGCGAGAGGAAGGUGGGGAUGACGUCAAAUCAGCACGGCCCUUACGUCCGGGGCUACACACGUGUUACAAUGGUCGGUACAGAGGGCAGCUACCUGGUGACAGGAUGCAAAUCUCGAAAAUCCGAUCUCAGUUCGGAUCGUAGUCUGCAACCCGACUACGUGAAGCUGGAUUCGCUAGUAAUCGCAUAUCAGCCAUGAUGCGGUGAAUACGUUCCCGGGCCUUGUACACACCGCCCGUCAAGCCAUGGAAGUUGGGAGAGCCUGAAGCCGAUAACCGCAAGGAGUCGUCUAGGGUUAUACCAAUGACUGGGGCUAAGUCGUAACAAGGUAACC
RNAcentral lists this ribosomal RNA (1486 nucleotides) under uncultured prokaryote. RNAcentral's name for it is "partial 16S ribosomal RNA". It matches the Rfam family "Bacterial small subunit ribosomal RNA". The record is from RNAcentral.